UGGGGAAUAUUGCACAAUGGGGGUAACCCUGAUGCAGCGACGCCGCGUGAACGAAGAAGGUAUUCGUAUCGUAAAGUUCUGUCCUAUGGGAAGAUAAUGACAGUACCAUAGAAGAAAGCUCCGGCUAAAUACGUGCCAGCAGCCGCGGUAAUACGUAUGGAGCGAGCGUUGUCCGGAAUUAUUGGGCGUAAAGGGUACGCAGGCGGUUUAAUAAGUCGAAUGUUAAAGAUCGGGGCUCAACCCCGUAAAGCAUUGGAAACUGAUAAACUUGAGUAGUGGAGAGGAAAGUGGAAUUCCUAGUGUAGUGGUGAAAUACGUAGAUAUUAGGAGGAAUACCAGUAGCGAAGGCGACUUUCUGGACACAAACUGACGCUGAGGUACGAAAGCGUGGGGAGCAAACAGG
This 403-nucleotide ribosomal RNA is filed under the name bacterium. Its description in RNAcentral is "partial 16S ribosomal RNA". It matches the Rfam family "Bacterial small subunit ribosomal RNA", at positions 355 to 776 of the family's 1533-position model. The record is from RNAcentral.